AGGAUAAACGCUGGCGGCGUGCCUAACACAUGCAAGUCGAACGCCCUACGCAAGUAGGGAGUGGCGGACGGGUGAGGAACACGUGGGUUAUCUGCCUUUCGGUGAGGAAUACCAGCGAGAAAUCGCUGACAAUACCGCAUACGGUUCUUUCGAGAGGAAGAACGAAAGUCGUAAGACGCCGGGAGAUGAGCCUGCGCCCGAUUAGUUUGUUGGUGGGGUAAAAGCCUACCAAGACUGCAAUCGGUAGCUGGUCUGAGAGGACGAUCAGCCACACUGGGAUUGAGAACGGCCCAGACUCCUACGGGGGGCAGCAGUGAGGAAUUUUCGUCAAUGGGGGAAACCCUGAACGAGCAACGCCGCGUGCAGGAAGAAGGUUUUCGGAUCGUAAACUGCUUUUCUGUGGGAAGAGAACGGACGGUACCACAGGAAGAAGCCCCGGCUAACUACGUGCCAGCAGCCGC
This 461-nucleotide ribosomal RNA is filed under the name uncultured bacterium. Its description in RNAcentral is "SSU rRNA". It matches the Rfam family "Bacterial small subunit ribosomal RNA", at positions 26 to 518 of the family's 1533-position model. The record is from RNAcentral.